Molecule: small nucleolar RNA, 107 nt
Organism: Coffea eugenioides
Lineage: Eukaryota; Viridiplantae; Streptophyta; Magnoliopsida; Gentianales; Rubiaceae
Source: RefSeq, a predicted model, not a curated record
AUUUGGUGCUGGAGACACUUAAUGCAUAAUUUCUUGAAUCGCUCCCAGUAAUCAUAGAGCGUCUCUCCUAGAUGUUACUUGAUACCACAUAUCUCAUUCCUUAGACU